This 500-nucleotide ribosomal RNA is filed under the name uncultured Glomeromycotina. RNAcentral's name for it is "partial small subunit ribosomal RNA". It matches the Rfam family "Eukaryotic small subunit ribosomal RNA", at positions 591 to 1092 of the family's 1831-position model. The record is from RNAcentral. Lineage: Eukaryota; Fungi; Glomeromycota.
CCAAUAGCGUAUAUUAAAAUUGUUGCAGUUAAAAAGCUCGUAGUUGAAUUUCGGGAUUAGUACGCUGGUCGUGCCUUCGGUAUGUACUGGUGUUACUGAUUCCUACCUUCUGACGAACCGUCAUGUCAUUAAUUUGGUGUGGCGGGGAAUCAGGACUGUUACUUUGAAAAAAUUAGAGUGUUUAAAGCAGGCUCGCGCUUGAAUACAUUAGCAUGGAAUAAUGAAAUAGGACGUUCGAUCCUAUUUUGUUGGUUUCUAGGAUUGACGUAAUGAUGAAUAGGGAUAGUUGGGGGGAUUAGUAGUCAAUUGUCAGAGGUGAAAUUCUUGGAUUUAGUGAAGACUAACUACUGCGAAAGCAUUUGCCAAGGAUGUUUUCAUUAAUCAAGAACGAAAGUUAGGGGAUCGAAGACGAUCAGAUACCGUCGUAGUCUUAACCAUAAACUAUGCCGACUAGGGAUCGGAUGAUGUUAAUUUUUUAAUGACUCAUUCGGCGCCUUACG